CUCUUUUCACACUGAGCUGAGAAAUUGUUCUUCAAAAUGUAAUGACCUGACACCACCUCUUUUGCUGUUUUAUGCCUCCGCUACGGCGACAGUCGUGGCCGGAAGCAUUAUGUUUUCAUUAUGUUGUCCGUCCGAUCCAUUCUUGUGAACGCGAUAUCUCAGGAACGCCGCGGGGGAAUUUCUUUAAAUUUGGCACAAAAGUCCACCUAGACUCAAGGAUGAACUGAUUAGAGUUUGGUGAUCAAAGGUCACUGUGACCUCACAAAAUACAUUUUAGGCCAUGACUC
Sebastes umbrosus (honeycomb rockfish) is the source of this 287-nucleotide long non-coding RNA. RefSeq lists it as uncharacterized. The transcript has 3 exons. The record is from RefSeq and is a predicted model, not a curated record. Lineage: Eukaryota; Metazoa; Chordata; Actinopteri; Perciformes; Sebastidae.